GUGUACCACCAGUUUGGACCUGUGGAGGAACUCUAUCCUUCCUGUAGCCCCACUCAAGGCUGGCAGUACGUCAUGUCACCUGGUACAGAGACUGGAGCAGUGUUCCCAAGUAUGGAAUAUGCUGCCAUCAGAGCCUGAAUGCACUGCACUUCCUAUUUCAGGGUAGAAGAAAUAAACAUUCAACUGGGAAUUGAGCUUGGAAAAUUCCAGAUUGCUGACAUUUGGGAUAUGGUGUGAGACUCAUAAUUUUAAAUUUUCUUAUGUGUAAAAAUUGGAUCAAGAAACUCUAUUUGAUAGAGUAUUGUGAGAAUUAUGAUCCUAAAGGAAAUCAGUCCUGCGUGUUCAUUGGAAGGACUGAUGUUGAAGCUGAAACUCCAAUAUUUUGGCCACUUGAUGCAAAGAGCUGACUCAUUUGAAAAGACCCUGAUGCUGGGAAAGAAGAUUGAAGGCAGGAGGAGAAG
Long non-coding RNA from Bos taurus (domestic cattle), 461 nucleotides. Lineage: Eukaryota; Metazoa; Chordata; Mammalia; Artiodactyla; Bovidae. The record is from Ensembl.